Rattus norvegicus (Norway rat) is the source of this 58-nucleotide non-coding RNA. NCBI's taxonomy places the organism in Eukaryota, Metazoa, Chordata, Mammalia, Rodentia, Muridae. The record is from Rfam.
UAGCUCAGUGGUUAAGAGCACUGACUGCUCUUCCAGAGGUCCUGGGUUCAAUUCCCAG